This 492-nucleotide ribosomal RNA is filed under the name uncultured bacterium. RNAcentral's name for it is "partial 16S ribosomal RNA". It matches the Rfam family "Bacterial small subunit ribosomal RNA", at positions 29 to 507 of the family's 1533-position model. The record is from RNAcentral.
AGUGAACGCUGGCUGUAGGCCUAACACAUGCAAGUCGAACGGCAGCACAGUAAGAGCUUGCUCUUACGGGUGGCGAGUGGCGGACGGGUGAGGAAUACAUCGGAAUCUACUUUUUCGUGGGGGAUAACGUAGGGAGACUUACGCUAAUACCGCAUACGACCUACGGGUGAAAGCAGGGGAUCUUCGGACCUUGCGCGAUUGAAUGAGCCGAUGUCGGAUUAGCUAGUUGGCGGGGUAAAGGCCCACCAAGGCGACGAUCCGUAGCUGGUCUGAGAGGAUGAUCAGCCACACUGGAACUGAGACACGGCCCAGACUCCUACGGGAGGCAGCAGUGGGGAAUAUUAGACAAUGGGCGCAGGCCUGAUCCAGCCAUACCGCGUGGGUGAAGAAGGCCUUCGGGUUGUAAAGCCCUUUUGUUGGGAAAGAAAAGCAGCAGGUUAAUACCCCGCUGUUCUGACGGUACCCAAAGAAUAAGCACCGGCUAACUUCGUG